ACCUACAUCUUUGUAAUUGCCAUGAGCUUGAGCUAGCCAGUGAUGAAGAUGAGAUGCAAUUGCAAGGCCACAAGAGCCUCCUCUCUUUGGAGUUUACACAUCUUCGGAAAUUGGUGUCUCUCCCACUGUGGCUUCAACAUGCAACCACUCUACAAAGGCUUGAGAUUUCAAAUUGUGAAAACUUGACGGCUAUACCGGAGUGGAUCUCAACAUGCACAUCACUUCAAGUGCUUGAAAUUGGUGGAUGCUCUAGUUUGACAUCAUUGCCCGAAGGAAUGGGUAGGCUAACGUCUUUGCGAAGGCUAAAAGUUGAGAAGUGUCCCAUCUUAUUGCAAAGAUGCAAGAGAGAAGCGGGUGAGGACUGGGCCAAGAUUGCUCACAUCCCAGAGUUAGACUUGCGGUAUCUGCCUCAGCAAGAAGAAAAGUCAAACUUCCAUGCAUCUUCGAUUGCUUAGGGAAAAAAGUAGCAGAAGAAUGUUGAAGCAUACCACAACAAAAGCAGCAGCAUGAAGCCAAACAUUGUUCCUUAUUGAAUUUGAUCCGAGAGCUACAUGAUCUCAUUUGAAGCCAAACAUAUUGUUCCUAAUUGUUGUGAUUGAAGAAUUGGCGAGUGACAUUAUAAAAUUACAAGUGAGGCUUUGAUUUAUAUGCCAUGUGGAAUAUGUGGAUUGGAAAAACUGACUAAUCUUCGGACAUUAUCAAAAUUGGUGGUCUGCUCCAGUUCUCUUUCUAGCCUUUGACUUGGAGCAUUCCUAACGAGCUUGCCAAACACCAUUUUUGGGUUUGAUUGUUCAGGGCGAUGUAGCUGAAGAAUGUCGAAGCAUACCACAAGAAAAGCAGCAACAUGAAGCCAAGCAUAUAGUUCCUAAUUGUUGGGAUUGAAGAAUUGGCGAGCUUGCCAAAUACCAUUUUUCGCAAAAAUCUCUUGAGUUCCCUCAAAAUACCCCCUGCAACAAAGAUUUUAUAGCCUCACUCAUCGGCAAGCUUCUCUCGCCAUUUCA
Corylus avellana is the source of this 1001-nucleotide RNA transcript. It is a transcript of the gene named putative disease resistance protein RGA1, with no coding region annotated. NCBI's taxonomy places the organism in Eukaryota, Viridiplantae, Streptophyta, Magnoliopsida, Fagales, Betulaceae. The record is from RefSeq and is a predicted model, not a curated record.